Molecule: ribosomal RNA, 440 nt
Filed under: Clostridioides difficile
Lineage: Bacteria; Bacillati; Bacillota; Clostridia; Peptostreptococcales; Peptostreptococcaceae
Description: bacterial LSU rRNA
Rfam family: Bacterial large subunit ribosomal RNA
Source: RNAcentral
GGGAAAUCUGUCGUGAGGUCGUCUUGAAUGGGGGUGGCUACUCCCAAAAGGUAACGGAGGCGGUCAAAGGUUCUGUCAGUACGGUAGGAAAUCUUAAGUUGAGUGGCAAGGAAAAAGAGAGCGUGAUGGCAAUACAUACAGGCCGAGCAAGGAUGAAAAUUGGACUUAGUGGCCCUGGGGUUCUGCGUGGAAGGGCCAUCGCUCAACGGAUAAAAGCUACCCUGGGGAUAACAGGCUUAUCUCCCCCAAGAGUCCACAUCGACGGUGAUGUUUGGCACCUCGAUGUCGGCUCAUCACAUCCUGGGGCUGUAGUAGGUCCCCAGGGUUGGGCUGUUCGCCCAUUAAAGUGGUACGCGAGCUGGGUUCAGACCGUCGUGAGACAGUUCGGUCCCUAUCCGUCGCAUCCGUAGGAAAUUUGCGAAAUGAUGUCAUUAGUCCGA